Long non-coding RNA from Phyllostomus discolor (pale spear-nosed bat), 885 nucleotides. RefSeq lists it as uncharacterized. Lineage: Eukaryota; Metazoa; Chordata; Mammalia; Chiroptera; Phyllostomidae. The transcript is spliced from 2 exons. The record is from RefSeq and is a predicted model, not a curated record.
UGUUGAAUAUCUUAAAGAUAUGAAAAUACCUUUCCUGAGUGUUUAAGACAGGAACUUCCAACAAUAUCAGGGUCACUUGCUGGGCACUGCUUAUUAACUGUAAGGUAGAGACCCUAUAUCUGUAAUCAAUUUUAUUUUAACUGGUCAGUUAGCAUCUUUUUUCAGGUCUUAUUUGUAUUCACCAUGGGUGCCACAGUUGCAGACACAUAGACUUUACUAGAAUGUAAGAUUUCAAAACAAAAUAAAAAUUUACCUUGACAUGUUCACAUCAAAGUUUUUAUUCACCUCUUUAUUCUUUUCGGAAUACUGUUAUAUAACCAGGCAGGAUGGAUUGGAUGGGACUGUGAAAAACAAAAUUCAGUAACCAUUCACUGGGAGUGCUGCUCAUGCUAUUUUUAUUCAGGACUUGCAAAGUUCCUCAGAGAUGACUGAGCAUCUCUUUGGAAAUGAAUCUUUUAAUUCUGCAGUGAUGCCAGGAGUUAGGUUGGCAACCCAGACUUUGCCUUGCUCAGAGCCACGUUCUUUUCUGGCCAACUUGGACACCUUACAUUGAAGUCUAUGUGGCUCAGCACCAGGUUCACUCUGGAGGGUGCUUGUUAACUUGCUGUGCCAAAAAGGUCUCCUCUCUUUCUUUGCCUAUGUAAAGUCACUUCAUUUCUCAGCAGUGGUUAAUCUGUUAAAAAGUGGGGUGAAGGCUUUUGAUGGUGUGGGUGGGGGGAGAGUGCUAAAAGUAAGUAAGAACUGUUCUAAGGUAUAUUCAAAGACACUUUGAACCUUUACUUUUCAUAGAUGCCUCUUAUUCCCCUAUUGCUUCAUUAGCAUGGGUUUUAUCCAGAAGUUGACAGAACAGAAUCUGAAGUUCACUUAUCAAAGGUAAAAAAAAUC